GGAGAGGUGCUCGAGUGGUUGAAGAGGCACGCCUGGAAAGCGUGUAUACCCCAAAAGGGUAUCCGGGUUCGAAUCCCCGUCUCUCCGCAA
RNAcentral lists this transfer RNA (90 nucleotides) under Phocaeicola vulgatus. RNAcentral's name for it is "Bacteroides vulgatus tRNA-Ser". It matches the Rfam family "tRNA". From Rfam's summary of the family: Transfer RNA (tRNA) molecules are approximately 80 nucleotides in length. Their secondary structure includes four short double-helical elements and three loops (D, anti-codon, and T loops). The record is from RNAcentral. Lineage: Bacteria; Pseudomonadati; Bacteroidota; Bacteroidia; Bacteroidales; Bacteroidaceae.